This 2263-nucleotide long non-coding RNA is filed under the name Homo sapiens (human). RNAcentral describes it as "HSALNT0357193". The record is from RNAcentral. Lineage: Eukaryota; Metazoa; Chordata; Mammalia; Primates; Hominidae.
CGAAAGAGAAAAGCGCGAGGCGCACGCACACCGGCCCAUCCCGGCGCAGAGACCUCGUCUGCCCCGGGAGGGGGAUCUGUCUGUGGUGCUUCCCGGUCUCUAAGCCCAGCCCGGACUCCCUUCCCUUCCCUUCCAGGGACGCCUGGUUUCCCCCCAAGCGAACCGGGAUGGGAAGUGACUUCAAUGAGAUUGAACUUCAGCUGGAUUGAAAGAGAGGCUAGAAGUUCCGCUUGCCAGCAGCCUCCUUAGUAGAGCGGAAUGAGUAAUACCCACACGGUGCUUGUCUCACUUCCCCAUCCGCACCCGGCCCUCACCUGCUGUCACCUCGGCCUCCCACACCCGGUCCGCGCUCCCCGCCCUCUUCCUCGCGUAGAACCGUGGGAUCCUAGGUGGCAGGACUCAGAGCUAAGGUAUCCACAGGCCAUGAAUUCCUUCCUAAAUGAGCGGUCAUCGCCGUGCAGGACCUUAAGGCAAGAAGCAUCGGCUGACAGAUGUGAUCUCUGAACCUGAUAGAUUGCUGAUUUUAUCUUAUUUUAUCCUUGACUUGGUACAAGUUUUGGGAUUUCUGAAAAGACCAUACAGAUAACCACAAAUAUCAAGAAAGUCGUCUUCAGUAUUAAGUAGAAUUUAGAUUUAGGUUUCCUUCCUGCUUCCCACCUCCUUCGAAUAAGGAAACGUCUUUGGGACCAACUUUAUGGAAUAAAUAAGCUGAGCUGUAUUUCAAGUAAUAUAGUUAUAAAUUAACAAUGUAGCAGUUAUUGAUAGAGAAAUUGAGAAAACUGAAACGUGACCGGAGUAUUGGAAAUAACGUAGUACAUCACCUAGCACAAUGACACAUAGUAGGUGCUCAAUAAAUUUAUGCUUAUAAUUUUUGUCACUUCUAUGGCAGGAUUUUUUUAUUAGGUUAAAAUUAUCUUUUAAACACCUUCCGGAAUUUUAGAAUAUUCAUUAAUAAUGUCUUCAAACCUUUCAACUGAAAUAAAUUUACAGCUGAAGUCUGAUGAUUUAAAGUUAGAAAGUUUAAUCUUGAAUAUAAAUGAACAUUUUCUCUCCCACAUUUUCUUGGGCAUUUUGAGAAGUAAAUGCGUUAUUUAUUGGUCCAUGAAAUGUGACUGUAAAUAUUCUUUGCUAUACAUUAUGUCUAUAUAUCUGCAUUCAUCCUCAAUGCCAAAACUAGAAUCAUUAGUCUUAAUGAUCAUUUUAAGUACAGGCAGUCCUCGCUUUCCUUGAUACCAUGUUAACCGAAACUUGUGUAUGUCAACACGGUGUCCUUGCUUUGCUUGGUUAAGUGUGAGUUCUUCCUCCCUUUUUUUAAGAGUUGUACAAUGUUUUUCAGUCGCCUACCGAAUCAGGUCAUAGACUAUGGAAUUGACCCCACCCCACCAACAUUUUUACAGCUACCCUGAUUUCUGACCAGAAAGGAAAAAAAAACUUUCCAGCUCUAUCACACAUUUUACCUACUCUUAAACUUAGGAGGUAUUACAAAUAGCAUUUUCUCAUGUUCUCUUUCUGGCCUGUACCUCCCUGCUAAGCUUCCUUCAGUGUUCAUCCUCACCUCAUAGAGAGAUGAAGUGAAGAGACAAACAGAAGUCAUUUUCUUCCUUACUUUAGUGGUUUCUGGUUUAGUUAGUUUGGGCCAAACUGUGGACAAGUACCUUUUCAGGUAACUUUUUUUUCUUAUUUCUAUGUCCUCAACACCUAGUGGAGUACGUAGCCAAUAGUAGAUGCUUAAUAAACAUUUCUUAAAUUAAUAUUGUUGACCUUUUCUGACCCUGUUCUUGACAGUAAGGUACAUAAUCUGCCUUCAUCCCUUUAGUCCUUAGGAACAGAUAAAGUCAUGGAUAUGAAAGUGAUCACUGUCAUUAAUAUCCACAUUAAAAUUGCUCUUGAUUUUAGUUUCUCCAUAAUCAUUUUCCCUAAACAAUGAACUCUGUUCACCUUUUUUUUUAAAAUAUGCACAGUGAAUAUUACUGGUAGCCCAAAUCUUCUAACAUAAAAUUUCCAUUUUGUAAAAGCUUCUGAUAAGCAUAUAUGUUAUGAAUUGAAUGUUUGAUUAUUAUACUUUAAUAUUCUUGAAAAUAUUGAUACCUGGACUGGAAAGAAAACAGACAAAAGUAAAUCUCAGAAUAAAUUACUGCUUUAAACAUGAUGCAUGUGUGACGGUUGCUUCUUAUCUCUUAAAUACAGCUAAAGAAUAGGGGAAAAAUCUUUAGAAUCAAUUUAUAAAAGAAGAUUAUUAAAAUUUAGGUUUAUUCAAAUCAAA